CUUGUCCUUGAUGAUUUACCUGAACCAAUCUUGAGUUUAACGACCUUGAGAAAAUGUUCAUGCACUACCAUCUGAGACAAA
Nerophis lumbriciformis (worm pipefish) is the source of this 81-nucleotide small nucleolar RNA. NCBI's taxonomy places the organism in Eukaryota, Metazoa, Chordata, Actinopteri, Syngnathiformes, Syngnathidae. The record is from RefSeq and is a predicted model, not a curated record.